Molecule: transfer RNA, 71 nt
Filed under: Octopus conispadiceus
Lineage: Eukaryota; Metazoa; Mollusca; Cephalopoda; Octopoda; Octopodidae
Description: tRNA-Thr
Rfam family: tRNA
About the family: Transfer RNA (tRNA) molecules are approximately 80 nucleotides in length. Their secondary structure includes four short double-helical elements and three loops (D, anti-codon, and T loops).
Source: RNAcentral
GUUAUAAUAGUUUAAAAAAACAUUGGUCUUGUAAACCAAAAUUAAAUAUCACUAUUUUUAUAACUUUUUUU